UCGGGAAUUUUGGGCAAUGGGGGAAACCCUGACCCAGCAACGCCGCGUGAAGGAUGAAGUAUUUCGGUAUGUAAACUUCGAAAGAAUAGGAAGAAUAAAUGACGGUACUAUUUAUAAGGUCCGGCUAACUACGUGCCAGCAGCCGCGGUAAUACGUAGGGACCAAGCGUUGUUCGGAUUUACUGGGCGUAAAGGGCGCGUAGGCGGCAUGACAAGUCACUUGUGAAAUCUCUGGGCUUAACCCAGAACGGCCAAGUGAUACUGUCGCGCUAGAGUGCAGAAGGGGCAAUCGGAAUUCUUGGUGUAGCGGUGAAAUGCGUAGAUAUCAAGAGGAACACCUGAGGUGAAGACGGGUUGCUGGGCUGACACUGACGCUGAGGCGCGAAAGCCAGGGGAGCAAACGGGAUUAGAUACCCCAGUAGGCCCUGAGCGGGCUGGCAAGGCGCAU
RNAcentral lists this ribosomal RNA (447 nucleotides) under uncultured bacterium. Its description in RNAcentral is "bacterial SSU rRNA". It matches the Rfam family "Bacterial small subunit ribosomal RNA", at positions 355 to 825 of the family's 1533-position model. The record is from RNAcentral.